UUUUACCGGUUGACCUCGGAUCAGGUAGGG
RNAcentral lists this ribosomal RNA (30 nucleotides) under Malbranchea sp. UAMH 1592. RNAcentral describes it as "Auxarthron sp. UAMH 1592 partial 28S ribosomal RNA". Lineage: Eukaryota; Fungi; Ascomycota; Eurotiomycetes; Onygenales; Malbrancheaceae. The record is from RNAcentral.